Molecule: non-coding RNA, 45 nt
Filed under: Schistosoma margrebowiei
Lineage: Eukaryota; Metazoa; Platyhelminthes; Trematoda; Strigeidida; Schistosomatidae
Source: RNAcentral
AUCCAUCUGACUAGUCCUAAAUAGAACGAAACACGCGUUCUAGAU